CAAACAGGAUUAGAUACCCUGGUAGUCCACGCCCUAAACGAUGUCAACUAGGUGUUGGGAGGGUUAACCUUUUAGUGCCGUAGCUAACGCGUGAAGUUGACCGCUGGGGAGUACGGCCGCAAGGCUAAAACUCAAAGGAAUUGACGGGGACCCGCACAAGCGGUGGAUGAUGUGGAUUAAUUCGAUGCAACGCGAAAAACCUUACCUACCCUUGACAUGUCAGGAAUCCCGAAGAGAUUUGGGAGUGCUCGCAAGAGAGCCUGAACACAGGUGCUGCAUGGCUGUCGUCAGCUCGUGUCGUGAGAUGUUGGGUUAAGUCCCGCAACGAGCGCAACCCUUGUCAUUAAUUGCCAUCAUUCAGUUGGGCACUUUAAUGAGACUGCCGGUGACAAACCGGAGGAAGGUGGGGAUGACGUCAAGUCCUCAUGGCCCUUAUGGGUAGGGCUUCACACGUC
RNAcentral lists this ribosomal RNA (455 nucleotides) under uncultured bacterium. Its description in RNAcentral is "bacterial SSU rRNA". It matches the Rfam family "Bacterial small subunit ribosomal RNA", at positions 769 to 1224 of the family's 1533-position model. The record is from RNAcentral.